Long non-coding RNA from Zalophus californianus (California sea lion), 1209 nucleotides. RefSeq lists it as uncharacterized. The transcript has 3 exons. Lineage: Eukaryota; Metazoa; Chordata; Mammalia; Carnivora; Otariidae. The record is from RefSeq and is a predicted model, not a curated record.
GGGGAAGUGCGCAGCCGCCCCAUUCUCUUCCUUAUGUCCACGGAAGUAGAGGGCCACCUGCUUGCGAAUGGUGGACGUCCGAGGCCCCCGCUCGUGCUGCACGGCUGCAGAGACAGACAGAUGGACGAAUGCCCAGGAUCAGAGACUCGACAACACUUAGCUGCUGCCGAGCUCCCGGGCCAAACGCGCCGUCUGGGCAGGCAAGACAUGAGAGAGCUGAGGCUGAGAAGGGGAGCCGGACCCCAAGUGUCACGAUAAUGGCCAAGCCUCCAGCAAGACUAGAGCUUGACAACUUGUCAAUACACAAGUUCAACAGGUUGGACGUUCCCUCCUGCUUCCUGCGCCGCUGAGGAAGGAGCUCUCCCCAACGGGCGCUGUGCCUCCUGGAGCUGCCACCCAGCCCGGACCGUGGCCAAGGCAAACCCUCUCAGCAUCCUGUUCUGAGGCCCUAUUCCUCCCUCCCGGCCAUGACCCCGGCCCCCGGCCAGGCCUGGGGCGCCCUCGCCAGGCCACCACUGGGCACGCACUCGGACUGCGCUCUCCGCCCGAAAAGCAUCUGAUGUCCUAGUUCUUGUUGAACGAGUUUAAGAGCCUUCUGAAAGUCGGGUGUCCGAGGCACCCACAGGCGUCACCCUGCCUCUCCAGCCCCUUUUUGUAGAACCGAGAGAAAAAGCCCAGAUCGCCACAGUGGCCGUCCUGGUUUGGGAAUCUUGAUGAAUUAACAAACACGGGCUCGAAAUUCCGCGUGUUUGUGUCUCUGCCCUUCCUCCUCCAGCACAGUCUCCCAGUCCCCACAGUCUCCAACCUCGGAGACUAUCCCGACAGCGAGAUCCUGCGGAAGGCUAACAGGCUUAGAGGUGGCCACAAAAGGGCUGCAAGGAGAGGUGAGAAGAGGUAUUAGGACGAGGAGCAGGAAGUACCGCGCACGUGUGUGCCCAGCAGAGCCGGGUCCCGAGAGCGCUGUCUUCGUGGGGGUGCUUGUGGGGCGCAAGUUUCCUAUGUGGGUGUGGACCAUACCUCCAGAGUUCAGUGGGGUGGGGGUGGGGGUGGGGGCUCAUGCAGAGAGACGGAAGGAUAAGACUGAAAGUCCGAGGCCAAUUCCCAGCAUCUGGAAAGAAGUGCUCCAGAGAUGAUUUACAUGCAUUGGAGUGCCAUGUAUUUUCUGUACAUAUAAUUUACUUACUAGUCAACCAACAUUAGAGAAAUAAA